Globicephala melas (long-finned pilot whale) is the source of this 2461-nucleotide long non-coding RNA. RefSeq lists it as uncharacterized. Lineage: Eukaryota; Metazoa; Chordata; Mammalia; Artiodactyla; Delphinidae. The record is from RefSeq and is a predicted model, not a curated record.
AUUUGCGCACACAAACCACACAAACUUUAAGCCUCGUGAAGCUGCCCAGGUGGUGUUUAGGAAAUUUUGGUAAAGAAAGAAUGAAGAAGUAUUUGAGGCAGAUUCUAGCUGGCAAGAUGUGAGAAGGGUAAAAGCCGGUUUUAUUUAGUUUUGUUUGUUUAUUUUUAUUUUUACAUUGCAGCUAGUUUGAAAGUUGGUUUCUGGCAAGAGGAAAGAAAAGGCUGCAGCACUAAAGGAAGAAUCAAAGUGUUAAAAGGACGCUCAGAAUGUAGUAUUGUGGCAGGUCGGGAAAACCCUGGUGGUUCCAUUAUUUUAAAAGGAAAUACUGGUGAAUGAAUGAUGAAAGGAAUUUUCAAAUACCACAGUGACUUCAAAAAUUUUGGUGAUGGAUUUGAGAUGGUUAAAAUAUAAUUAAAAAAGAAUUAUCAGAAGGUGUGCCAACAACUGCUUGGUGAUUCCAGGACAAGAUGGCAGAGAAGAAGGACCUGAGCUCACCUCCUCUCAUGAAAUCACCAAAAUCACAACUAACUAACUGCUCAACAACCAUUGACAAAAAGGACUGGAACCUACCAAAAAAGAUAUUUUACUUCCAAAGACAAAGAAGAAGCCACAGUGAAAAGAAGGAGAAUUUGAGUUUUAGAUCUAUGUGUUCUGAGGAUCACAACAUGAGAAGCAUGUUUCAAACUGACCAUCACAGAGUCAGGAGGGUCUUUGGAAGACACAUCACACAUUCAGCUGCUCAGAGAAAACCACCCAUAUUGCCAUAAUGAAGAAAGAAUGUCAGAGAAGCAUUGUCAGAGCUUUUGGAUGUUUCUUACCAUUUGAGGAGUUAAGCAGAGUUGAGUGCAUUUGGCGGCCUUUGUGAAAUUCAUAUAUUUUAUGAUUGAAAUUGUUUUAUGACUUGGGAACUUAUUGAUAAAGCCUUGUAAAGUUAUAGAUAAUAAAUCACAUUUAGUUACAUAUUGAAUGUCAUUUUCAUUGAAAUCACCCUGUUCUUUUAGUACACUUAUCAAGAUUUGUUAUAACAAUAACAUUUGUUUUUUAUUUUUAACUUUUUAUUUUAUAUUGGAGAAUAGUUGAUUAACAAUGUUGUGCUAGUUUCAGGUGUACAACAGAAUGAUUCAGUUAUACAUAUACAUAUAUCUAUUCUUUUUCAAAUUCUUUUCCCAAUUAGGUUGUUACUGAAUAUUGAGUAGAUUUCCCUGUGCUGUACAGUAGGUCCUUGUUGGUUAUCCAUUUUAAAUAUAGCAGUGUGUACAUGUCAAUCCCAAACUCCCUAAUUAUUCCUCCCCUCCACCCUUCCCCCCUUGGUAACCAUGAGUUCAGUCUCUAAGCCUGUGAGUCUGUUUCUGUUUCGUAAAUAAGUUCAUUUGUAUCAUUUUUUUUUUAGAUUCCCCAUAUAAGCGAUGUCAGAUGAUACUUCUUUCUCUGACUUACUUCACUCAGUAUGACAAUAAUAUUUGUAAUCUUUAUUCAUUGUUUAAUAUCCUUGUUCCUUACUAGACUGUUAGCUCCAUGAAGGCAAGAGCCAUGUUUUUUAGUAUGUCAUUGUAAACCUAGGAAAGUACCUAGUACUUAAUAUCUAAUGAAUAAAUUUAUGAAUUUAAAAGAUUGAAAAUUGGCAAUGACUUUGAAAAUCCAAGAUGUAUAGUUGUCAUUCUUUCAGGCUAAAGUGAAAUUCAUUUAAUAUUUCUGGAAAGCUCCAUGUAAGAACAUUGUUUAUGUUUCCUGAGGUGUCAAUUGCCAUAUCAAAGGUCUUGUUGCCGGAUAACCAUGCCCUAAAUUUUCAUACUCAAAAGGCAGUAAACUCCCCUGUCAAUCUUUCACAAAAUGCAGUUAACACUAAGUUUGGGUUGACACAUUCACCAUCAAAAUUUUAGCAACUUGAUGCUGGGUAAGUUGUUUAAAAUACUUUCACUAAAUAACAAAUGCUGGGAAGGGUGUGGAGAAAAGGGAACCCUCCUACACUGUUGGUGGGAAUGUAAGUUGCUGCAACCACUAUGGAAAACAGUACAGAGGUUCCUCAGAAAACUAAAAAUAGAAUUACUGUAUGAUCCAGCAAUCCCACUCCUAGGCAUAUACCUGGACAAAACCAUAAUUCAAAAAGAUACAUGCACCCCUAUGUUCAUAGCAGCACUAUUCACAAUAGCCAAAACAUGGAAACAACCUGAAUGUCCAUUGGCAGAUGAAUGGAUAAGAAGAUGUGGUACAUAUAUACAGUGGAAUACUACUUAGCCAUAAAAAAGAACAAAAUAAUGCCACUUGCAGCAAGAGGGAUGCAGCUAGAGAUUAUCAUACUAAGUGAAGUUAAGUCAGAAAGAGAAAGACAAAUACCAUAUAUCACUUGUAUGCGGAAUCUAAAAUAUGGCACAAAUGAACCUAUCUAUACAACAGAGACAGGCUCACAGACUUGAGAGAUCAGACUUGCGGUUGCCAAGGGGGAGAGGGGGAGGGAGAGGGA